RNAcentral lists this ribosomal RNA (301 nucleotides) under uncultured bacterium. Its description in RNAcentral is "partial 16S ribosomal RNA". It matches the Rfam family "Bacterial small subunit ribosomal RNA", at positions 509 to 807 of the family's 1533-position model. The record is from RNAcentral.
CAGCCGCCACGGGAAUACGUAGGUGGCAAGCGUUGUCCGGAUUUAUUGGGCGUAAAGCGAGCGCAGGCGGUUUCUUAAGUCUGAUGUGAAAGCCCCCGGCUCAACCGGGGAGGGUCAUUGGAAACUGGGAGACUUGAGUGCAGAAGAGGAGAGUGGAAUUCCAUGUGUAGCGGUGAAAUGCGUAGAUAUAUGGAGGAACACCAGUGGCGAAGGCGACUCUCUGGUCUGUAACUGACGCUGAGGAGCGAAAGCGUGGGGAGCGAACAGGAUUAGAUACCCCAGUAGUCCCUGUCUCUUAUAC